CCCCACUACCCCCAGCGAUGCGGCCAUGAAGGAACCGCCCGCAGCCGCAGCCGCAGCGCCGCUCCCCGCCUCACCUAAAACCUAGCAGCUCCAUUCUCUUCCUCUGGCGGUGCCGCCCAGCGUUCCCUCACAGGUGAUGCGGAUACACCUCGCACUCAUAGCCUUCUAUUUCCAGGAUGAGGAGCUUGGACGUCUUGGAGGGCGGAUUCGACCAUGGAUCUGCAUUCGCGUACAACGAAGUCCCUGUCAGAUUCGCUUCCAGUGCUUGCAAGAUGAUUUCGGUCUACUCCAUGACGCAGAGGUCUCUCAAAGAGCUUCGGCGGCGAUUUAGAGAAAGGGAACGGCAGAAGUUCAAGAUCCAGAUGCAAUUUCUCCAUUUCCCUUUGUACUCUAAUCCAGGCCCUGCUCUAAUCUAUCCCUCGUGCUCUUCUUCCAUAUAUGCAUUGUUGUUUUUUUUCCUAGAUGAUGCACAAGAUGGCCUGAUGCUUUGAGGACGAUCCGGCGCUUACAUCUGGUGGCCGACCUCAAUAAUAAUCACUUGGACAGAUCGUGCAUUCCCAUAGAAGGGGAAUGGACAUAGGGAUCCGAGUAAGCUGAAAGUAUAUGGAUAUAGGGAUCGUGCAUUGCCAUGGAAAGGGAAUGGAGAUAGGAAUAUUUUUGUACAAUAUCAGCUUAUUUAUCUGCACACUCGCUUCUUUGUGUCUAAUCAUAUACUAGCUGCAUAAUAAAUAUGUUAGUUGUACCUUAUAAUGUUUAUCAAGGAAUACUUUUUUGAUGUGGUAAUUCUUCCUAUGCAUGGAGAUUAUUUGUGCCUUGAUAUUAAUCUACACAUAAUCUGGUUAUUUGGGAUUUGGAGCAGUUUUCUUUUUGGGAUUUGGAGCAGUUAAUAAUAAGCACAUUGUAAGAGCGCAAGGGGUGUGGUAGCGCAAGUGCACGACAGAUGUUCAAGCCCAAAGUUCAAUUUCUCUUUUCCCUGUCAGAUUCCCCUAUUUUUUCCCUUGGGUUGAUCUGUGUUCACAUUUUUUCUAGGAAUUUUGUGCAUCCUUGAGCCUUGACAAGUCUGAUGGCCUUGAGGCACAGUCGGAGAGGCAGCAGACCAUGCGACAGUGGCACGAGAGGCCACACCAAAAUCCUCUAGCAGGUGCACAUCAGCAGCAACAACCUGCAACACAGCAGCAGGAUGACCUGCAGGUGCUAAGGAUAGUUACAUACUGAAUGAGUAUUAAUUAAAUUGAGGUCGUGCAUCUCAAGGAAUGCGCACUAAUGCAAAUGGAUGUUCCGGUUCUUGUAUCUGAUCCAAGAAUUUAACAGAACAACAGAGAGAAUUGCCGCUGCUAACGUGUUAUCUACAACAGGGAAUUGAUUAUAGCAUACUGAAGGUCCGAUACAUUAGCCUGGCUUGCUAUUAUUAGAUAUCAUCUGUGGAGAUGUUACACAAAUAGUAGAAUGGAUAAAUAAGACUUGUGGAUUAUCAUGUUUGGAUGCAAGAUUGUAACUGUCUACUCUAUACAGAUAGCGCUACUCUAUAUAUAUAGCACUAUGUAGAAUAUCAUAUUUUGAUGAUACAUUGUAAUUUGUCUACUCUUCGGAUAUUUUCUUGUAUGAGGUGGUGAUUCAAUAUUAAAU
Molecule: long non-coding RNA, 1626 nt
Organism: Lolium perenne
Lineage: Eukaryota; Viridiplantae; Streptophyta; Magnoliopsida; Poales; Poaceae
Source: RefSeq, a predicted model, not a curated record